Molecule: ribosomal RNA, 334 nt
Filed under: uncultured Streptococcus sp.
Lineage: Bacteria; Bacillati; Bacillota; Bacilli; Lactobacillales; Streptococcaceae
Description: bacterial SSU rRNA
Rfam family: Bacterial small subunit ribosomal RNA
Source: RNAcentral
AUGGUUGUCGUCAGCUCGUGUCGUGAGAUGUUGGGUUAAGUCCCGCAACGAGCGCAACCCCUAUUGUUAGUUGCCAUCAUUCAGUUGGGCACUCUAGCGAGACUGCCGGUAAUAACCGGAGGAAGGUGGGAUGACGUCAAAUCAUCAUGCCCCUUAUGACCUGGGCUACACACGUGCUACAAUGGUUGGUACAACGAGUUGCGAGUCGGUGACGGCGAGCUAAUCUCUUAAAGCCAAUCUCAGUUCGGAUUGUAGGCUGCAACUCGCCUACAUGAAGUCGGAAUCGCUAGUAAUCGCGGAUCAGCACGCCGCGGUGAAUACGUUCCCGGGCCUU